Molecule: ribosomal RNA, 490 nt
Filed under: uncultured bacterium
Lineage: Bacteria
Description: partial 16S ribosomal RNA
Rfam family: Bacterial small subunit ribosomal RNA
Source: RNAcentral
AUUGAACGCUGGCGGCAGGCCUAACACAUGCCAGUCGAACGGUAACAGGAAGAAGCUUGCUUCUUUGCUGACGAGUGGCGGACGGGUGAGUAAUGUCUGGGAAACUGCCUGAGGGAGGGGGAUAACUACUGGAAACGGUAGCUAAUACCGCAUAACGUCGCAAGACCAAAGAGGGGGACCUUCGGGCCUCUUGCCAUCGGAUGUGCCCAGAUGGGAUUAGCUAGUAGGUGGGGUAACGGCUCACCUAGGCGACGAUCCCUAGCUGGUCUGAGAGGAUGACCAGCCACACUGGAACUGAGACACGGUCCAGACUCCUACGGGAGGCAGCAGUGGGGAAUAUUGCACAAUGGGCGCAAGCCUGAUGCAGCCAUGCCGCGUGUAUGAAGAAGGCCUUCGGGUUGUAAAGUACUUUCAGCGGGGAGGAAGGGAGUAAAGUUAAUACCUUUGCUCAUUGACGUUACCCGCAGAAGAAGCACCGGCUAACUCCGUG